AUGGAGUUCAAGCACCUGUGCCUGGUAAGGUUCAAGGAGGGCGUGGUGGUGGAUGACAUCAUUGAGGAGCUCACCAAGCUUGCCGGGGAGCUCGACACCGUCAAAUUCUUCGGGUGGGGAAAAGACGUGUUGAACCAGGAGGCGCUCACGCAUGUCUUCAACGACGUAUUCUCCAUGAGCUUCGCCAGCGUCAAGGACCUGGUGGCGUGCAUGGGCCACGAGAAGCACUCUACUUUCGCCUGCCAUGCUGGCCACACCGACAACAGCGAGGCCGUUUUUGGUUCCUCAUCAAGCAGCAGCCGCCGCCCCCUAGAAGUUCAGAAUUCUAAUGGCGACGUCCAACUUCGGAGAGUAGCACAGCACGACCAUGGCUCCCAGUAUCCUCUCUGUGAACUUGUUUUUACCUGUAUAAUCGCCACUGUGAUGUGCUGGACUUGUUACAAUUUUGAGGAGCUUGCGGCUGAAUCUCCUGUAUAUUUUUUGUUCUACAACAGUUCAGAACUCCAUGUUUCCCCCGAGCAAACGUGCACCCUCAAGGCCUCAACUCUGUAG
This 552-nucleotide ribosomal RNA is filed under the name Triticum aestivum (bread wheat). RNAcentral's name for it is "partial small subunit ribosomal RNA". The record is from RNAcentral. Lineage: Eukaryota; Viridiplantae; Streptophyta; Magnoliopsida; Poales; Poaceae.